Oryctolagus cuniculus (rabbit) is the source of this 352-nucleotide non-coding RNA. NCBI's taxonomy places the organism in Eukaryota, Metazoa, Chordata, Mammalia, Lagomorpha, Leporidae. The record is from RefSeq and is a predicted model, not a curated record.
UUUUUUUUUUUACAAGUUAAGGAAGUAACUAAACAUGGCCAUUUUAGGUCGGCUCUUGUUGAGAGGUCUGCCAAGACGUACGUCCUCCAUUACGAUUUUAAGCAAGAACUUUGGAACCUGAAGCAGGCGAGACCCUGCUUCAACUAGAGGAGACCUCAUAGCCCCUCUGUACCUGGCUGGCACUGCAGUCUGACCCUUCCCCCUCCAUUCUCAAGCAGAGGUUCUGAUGCCUUAUCGGGAAGCUGGAUGGGAAGCAGAGCAGCUGGGACUUGAAGUGGCGCUCCAGUAUGGAUGUGGGCCUUUUAAGCAGUGGCUUAAUCAUCAUACCACAACAACGAACCCUGGAGGUAAA